This is a non-coding RNA of Sorex araneus (European shrew), 345 nucleotides long. The record is from the annotation of a RefSeq genome assembly. NCBI's taxonomy places the organism in Eukaryota, Metazoa, Chordata, Mammalia, Eulipotyphla, Soricidae.
AUGCCCCGCAACCCCGUCCUGCUGCUCCUGCUCACGCUCUGUACAGGCUACGUGACCUCCUACAAGCUGACCCAGACACUCUCAGCCUCAGUAGUUCCGGGCCAGUCAGCCACAAUCACCUGCUCUGGAGAAUUACUUAGCAAGAAAUAUACAUCUUGGUACCAGCAGAAGCCUGGCCAGCGCCCUGUGCUGAUUAUUUAUAAGAAUAGUGAAAGGCCCUCGGGGAUCCCUGACCAAUUUUCUGGCUCUAGCUCCGGGACCACAGCCACCCUGACCAUCAGCAGGGCCCAGGCUGAGGAUGAGGCUGACUAUUACUGUCAGUCACGGGACAGCAGCAAUGAUUAA